Molecule: ribosomal RNA, 312 nt
Filed under: Triticum aestivum (bread wheat)
Lineage: Eukaryota; Viridiplantae; Streptophyta; Magnoliopsida; Poales; Poaceae
Description: partial small subunit ribosomal RNA
Source: RNAcentral
AUGGAUGUGUGGCCACACGAGGAUCGAGUCCGGAAUGAUGAUAUCCAAGAUAGAGUUGGGGUAGCACCAAUUGAAGAGAAGCUUGUCCAACAUCGCCUGAGAUGGUUUGGGCAUAUUCCGCGCAAGCCUCCAGAAGCUCCAGUGCAUAGCGGACGGCUAAAGCAUGCGGAGAAUUUCAAGACAGGGCGGGGUAGACUGAAUUUGACAUGGGAGGAGUCCGUUAAGAGAGACCUGAAGGAUUGGAGUAUCACCAAAGAACUAGCUAUGGACAGGGGUGCAUGGAAGCUCGCUAUCCAUGUGCCAGAGCCAUGA